Diospyros lotus (date-plum) is the source of this 1558-nucleotide long non-coding RNA. RefSeq lists it as uncharacterized. The transcript has 3 exons. NCBI's taxonomy places the organism in Eukaryota, Viridiplantae, Streptophyta, Magnoliopsida, Ericales, Ebenaceae. The record is from RefSeq and is a predicted model, not a curated record.
AAUCGCUGUUAUAGUGGGUAAGUAGGGUCCAAGGUGAGUGUCAAUUACUGUUGCACAGUGAAGCUAACUGUAACUAUAUAAUAUAUAUAUAUAUAUAUAUUGAGCACAGUGAGUACACCGUGGGUGGGUGUAUUUGGCUUUUGGGCUGUGAGUGUAGCGUUGUGUGCGCGUGUUCAGUGUGUUCAGAGCCAAAGCAGAGGUCCUUGGCCGAGAGUGAGCAGGUCCCUUUUUCCUUCCUUGUUGCUCCUCCAAUGUUUGUGAGUAUAUAUAUAUAUAUAUAUGUGCAGUGGGUGGCAUCGGUUUCGUGGGUGAAAGAAUUUACUGGUGAGCAGGUGUGUGAUUACCCAAGUGUUUGAGGUUUGAGGUAGUGUAGCCAUGAGUGUAAGGAGCUUUGUAAGUGUGUAAAUGUGUAGGGGCAGUGAGUAGGAGCUUUGGUUGGGGGUAGAAGAUGCUCCACAGUGAAGGUGUGUGAGUGUAAUACCGUGUGUGUUCACUGGGUGUGUUUUGUUUUAUAUUAAUAUUGUUAUUGUUAUUGUAAAGAUAAGAUUAAUAGUAGUAAAUAAUAAUUUUUAUUGUUAGCUCCUGGUGAUGCUCUCGCUGGAGAUGGAAGGUGACCCAUGUAUAUUUAAUAGUGUAUAUUAAGUGUUUAUAUAUAGAUAUAAACAAUAGUAAAUAAUAUAUAUAUUUGUAUAUUAAGUGAGUUUGUGGUGAAUUCGUUGUGAGCUAAUUAAGUGAGCUUGCUGUGUCAGUGCGUGUCUAAAACACUAAAGGAAAUGACCUUGGAUCAUGUGUGCAAGGGAAAAAUAAUAGAAUUUUGGGAGUUUUCGGCAAAGGAAGUGAUCAGGAAAUGAUUUAAUUUGCAUCGGGAGCUCGAGUGAGGUCAGAAUCAGCUGGUUUCAGGCAAGCUCCUAACCCUCUUCUCGUGUUCUUUAAUUCCCGUGAAAGACCCGUGAUUUCCUGUACUUUAUUCUCUCCCUUACUCUAAUUCGGCUCCUAACCUUAUUUGUUAUUCUUAUUAAUUUGUUUUAAUUUAAAUUAAAUCUGAGACUUCUAUAAUUUUAUUCGUUGUGAGCCUAAGGGGGUUUGUACCGCCCCCAUUCCUUUCGGAAUGAUGCUGAACCCAGUUGGGGAACUAGGUUCCUAGUCGUGCGGGUUUACUUAUAGUUUUUCUCAGAUUUAUUUAUGGUUCGGUUAGAGCUAUUGAGCAGUGGGGCAGGGGUCGGUUGUUGGUGACGUUGGGAUAGACUAUGGUACGACCCUGAUGUGGACCGUCGGGUGGACACCCCUAGUCACUGGCCGUUGACCGGUGCUGGGCAUUGCUGACUAGCUCUGCCAGUAGUGGCGGCGUGGGCCAUGGCAAGGGAGUCAGCUUAUAGCGGCAGAGUCAGUAUGGUGUACAGGCAGUCCCGUCAAUCCUUGUCAACUCUGAUGUUCGAGUAGGAUUUACUCUUUUAUUUUGUACUGUGCCAGGUCUUUUCUCGAGUCUCGUGUAUGUUGGCACAGGAGUUUGUGUUUAUUUAUUUAUCUUAUGACUGCUAUGUUAGCGGGGUACCCGUAG